AAUAUUGGACAAUGGGGGGAACCCUGAUCCAGCCAUGCCGCGUGUGUGAAGAAGGUCUUCGGAUUGUAAAGCACUGUAAGCUGGGAGGAAGGGUUGUAGGUUAAUACCCUGCAAUUUUGACGUUACCAACAGAAUAAGCACCGGCCAACUUCGUGCCAGCAGCCGCGGUAAUACGAAGGGUGCAAGCGUUAAUCGGAAUUACUGGGCGUAAAGCGCGCGUAGGUGGUUCGUUAAGUUGGAAGUUAAAACCCCGGGCUUAACCUGGGAAUUGCUUUCAAAACUGACGAGCUAGAGUACGGUAGAGGGUAGUGGAAUUUCCUGUGUAGCGGUGAAAUGCGUAGAUAUAGGGAGGAACACCAGUGGCGAAGGCGACCACCUAGGCUAAUACUGACACUGAGGUGCGAAAGCGUGGGGAGCAAACAGG
This 424-nucleotide ribosomal RNA is filed under the name uncultured bacterium. Its description in RNAcentral is "partial 16S ribosomal RNA". It matches the Rfam family "Bacterial small subunit ribosomal RNA", at positions 360 to 776 of the family's 1533-position model. The record is from RNAcentral.